GGACUUCACAUGGACCAAGUUCACGCUCAUGGGACUUCACAUGGGCCAAGUUCACGCACAUGGGACUUCACCUUGGGCUAAGCACAUGGACCCGCACUUGGACUCGCUAGCACCUCACCGUUCAACGCAACUUGGGACCACUUCACCGUGGACCAAGCACUUCACGUGCUCAACACUCACGCAGCCCAUUCCCGCACAUGGACCAAGCACGCACAUGGACCCGCCACUCACGCUCAACACUCACGCAGCCCAC
RNAcentral lists this long non-coding RNA (253 nucleotides) under Manihot esculenta (cassava). RNAcentral describes it as "long non-coding RNA (MESC_LNC011559)". The record is from RNAcentral. Lineage: Eukaryota; Viridiplantae; Streptophyta; Magnoliopsida; Malpighiales; Euphorbiaceae.